AUUGAACGCUGGCGGCAGGCUUAACACAUCCAAGUCGAGCGGGGGAAGGUAGCUUGCUACUGGACCUAGCGGCGGACGGGCGAGUAAUGCUUAGGAAUCUGCCUAUUAGUGGGGGACAACAUCUCGAAAGGGAUGCUAAUACCGCAUACGUCCUACGGGAGAAAGCCGGGGAUCUUCGGACCUUGCGCUAGUAGAUGAGCUUAAGUCGGAUUAGCUAGUUGGUGGGGUAAAGGCCUACCAAGGCGACGAUCUGUAGCGGGUCUGAGAGGAUGAUCCGCCACACUGGGACUGAGACACGGCCCAGACUCCUACGGGAGGCAGCAGUGGGGAAUAUUGGACAAUGGGGGGAACCCUGAUCCAGCCAUGCCGCGUGUGUGAAGAAGGCCUUAUGGUUGUAAAGCACUUUAAGCGAGGAGGAGGCUACUCUAGUUAAUACCUAGGGAUAGUGGACGUUACUCGCAGAAUAAGCACCGGCUAACUCUGUGCCAGCCGCCGCGGUAA
This 501-nucleotide ribosomal RNA is filed under the name uncultured bacterium. RNAcentral's name for it is "partial 16S ribosomal RNA". It matches the Rfam family "Bacterial small subunit ribosomal RNA", at positions 30 to 523 of the family's 1533-position model. The record is from RNAcentral.